UGAUUCUAAAUAUGGUGGCUAAUUUUUUCUCAGAGCACUUCCGAGGUGGUGGAUGUCUUUAUGGAGUAUGAGUGGAGUGUGGGUGGAGGUCUUCGGUGAUCUUGCUUCUUCGGUGGUUGUCUGAUCGCUUCGGUGCUCGAUGUGGUGAUGUGGUGAUGCUGAAUGCUUCACCCGGUAGCUCCUUUUAUAGUCGCGGCAGAGGCUUCUGGAGUUGCUUCGUGCUUAAGACUUCUGGUGCCUUCAACU
RNAcentral lists this long non-coding RNA (246 nucleotides) under Setaria viridis. Its description in RNAcentral is "long non-coding RNA (SVIR_LNC003420)". Lineage: Eukaryota; Viridiplantae; Streptophyta; Magnoliopsida; Poales; Poaceae. The record is from RNAcentral.